Molecule: ribosomal RNA, 786 nt
Filed under: uncultured bacterium
Lineage: Bacteria
Description: bacterial SSU rRNA
Rfam family: Bacterial small subunit ribosomal RNA
Source: RNAcentral
AUGAACGUUGGCGGCAUGGAUUAGGCAUGCAAGUCGCACGAGAACCCAAUUAGCUUGCUAUGAGGGGGACAGUGGCGUAAGGGAGAGUAACGCGUGGUUAUGUACCUUCGAGACCGGGAUAGUGUCGGGAAACUGGCAGUAAUACCGGAUAACAUCUUCGGAUCAAAUGGUGUGAUUCCGCUCGAAGAUCGGACCGCGUACUAUUAGCUUGUUGGUGGGGUAAUGGCCCACCAAGGCUGCGAUGGUUACCGGGUGUGAGAGCAUGGCCCGGCUCACUGGGACUGAGACACUGCCCAGACACCUACGGGUGGCUGCAGUCGAGAAUCUUCGGCAAUGGGCGAAAGCCUGACCGAGCGAUGCCGCGUGCGGGAUGAAGGCCCUCGGGUUGUAAACCGCUGUCAGUUGUUAGGAAAUGCUAUAGGGUUCUCUCUAUAGUUUGACCGAUCUUCAGAGGAAGGACGGGCUAAGUUCGUGCCAGCAGCCGCGGUAAGACGAACCGUCCAAACGUUAUUCGGUAUCACUGGGCUUAAAGCGUGCGUAGGCGGCUUGGUAGGUGAGAUGUGAAAGCCCACGGCUCAACCGUGGAAUUGCGUUUCAAACCCCCAAGCUCGAGGAAGAUAGGGGUGAUGGGAACUUAUGGUGGAGCGGUGAAAUGCGUUGAUAUCAUAGGGAACACCGGUGGCGAAAGCGCAUCACUGGAUCUUUUCUGACGCUGAGGCACGAAAGCUAGGGUAGCGAACGGGAUUAGAUACCCCGGUAGUCCUAGCCGUAAACGAUGAACACUGG